AAAAUCCCAAAAUGUGGGCGUGUUCCUUUAAAUGUAGUCAAAAAUAGGUAUUUACCAUAGCAUGUUUUUUCCGGUCAUUUGCCGGAUCCCGGAGCCAUUCCUCCAGACGUUGAAGUUCUCCCUCGCUGUCUAUGGGGAACUGGAACUCUUCCGGCAUUUCGUGGUUGGGGUGUCCUUCCGUGUGUACAUUAGUCUUACCUGUGCAUCUAAUGGGGCCAGUACCAUUGCUCACCCUAACAGAGGGCCUGAAGAAGAAGCCCUGUUCCCUACUGUCACCAUCUAAUGGAGCAAAGCCAGGUGAAAAAGCUGAUGCAGCCAGAGGAGAGCCAGGGCUUGGAUGCAGAGGCCCUUAGAGAGGACGCUGUGGACAACAAAUCUACUCCUAAUUCUAACCCCCCCGCC
Molecule: non-coding RNA, 402 nt
Organism: Misgurnus anguillicaudatus (oriental weatherfish)
Lineage: Eukaryota; Metazoa; Chordata; Actinopteri; Cypriniformes; Cobitidae
Source: RefSeq, a predicted model, not a curated record